GAAGGAGAAUUCCAAAGGGAUCGCAUUGAUCUCCCUUUUCCUCUUUGCCUUCUUUCUCCACCUAUGGUUUUAGGAGAUCAUGCGAUUCCUUAGGAAUUUUCCGU
RNAcentral lists this microRNA precursor (104 nucleotides) under Musa acuminata subsp. malaccensis (wild Malaysian banana). RNAcentral describes it as "mir-393 microRNA precursor family". It matches the Rfam family "mir-393 microRNA precursor family". The record is from Rfam by way of RNAcentral. Lineage: Eukaryota; Viridiplantae; Streptophyta; Magnoliopsida; Zingiberales; Musaceae.